GGUCAAGCGAACAAGUGCAUGUGGUGGAUGCCUUGGCGAUCACAGGCGAUGAAGGACGCGGUAGCCUGCGAAAAGCCCCGGGGAGCUGGCAAACAAGCUUUGAUCCGGGGAUGUCCGAAUGGGGAAACCCACUCCGUAUGGAGUAUCCAUGACUGAAUACAUAGGUCAUGUGAAGCGAACGCGGUGAACUGAAACAUCUAAGUAACCGCAGGAAAAGAAAUCAACCGAGAUUCCCAAAGUAGUGGCGAGCGAAAUGGGAUGAGCCUUGUACUCUUUAUUCGUAUUGUUAGCCGAACGCUCUGGAAAGUGCGGCCAUAGCAGGUGAUAGCCCUGUAGGCGAAAACAGUAUGAAAGAACUAGGUGUACGACAAGUAGGGCGGGACACGUGAAAUCCUGUCUGAAGAUGGGGGGACCAUCCUCCAAGGCUAAAUACUCGUGAUCGACCGAUAGUGAACCAGUACCGUGAGGGAAAGGCGAAAAGAACCCCGGGAGGGGAGUGAAAUAGAUCCUGAAACCGCAUGCAUACAAACAGUCGGAGCCUCGUAAGGGGUGACGGCGUACCUUUUGUAUAAUGGGUCAGCGACUUACGUUCAGUAGCAAGCUUAACCGUAUAGGGCAGGCGUAGCGAAAGCGAGUCCGAAUAGGGCGUUCAGUUGCUGGGCGUAGACCCGAAACCAGGUGAUCUAUCCAUGGCCAGGAUGAAGGUGCGGUAACACGUACUGGAGGUCCGAACCCACUAACGUUGAAAAGUUAGGGGAUGAGCUGUGGAUAGGGGUGAAAGGCUAAACAAACCUGGAAAUAGCUGGUUCUCUCCGAAAACUAUUUAGGUAGUGCCUCGUGUCUCACCUUCGGGGGUAGAGCACUGUCAUGGUUGGGGGGUCUAUUGCAGAUUACCCCGCCAUAGCAAACUCCGAAUACCGAAGAGUGCAAUCACGGGAGACAGACAUCGGGUGCUAACGUCCGGUGUCAAGAGGGAAACAACCCAGACCGCCAGCUAAGGUCCCCAAAUAUGGCUAAGUGGGAAACGAAGUGGGAAGGCUAAAACAGUCAGGAGGUUGGCUUAGAAGCAGCCACCCUUUAAAGAAAGCGUAAUAGCUCACUGAUCGAGUCGUCCUGCGCGGAAGAUGUAACGGGGCUAAGCCAUAUACCGAAGCUGCGGAUGCG
Molecule: ribosomal RNA, 1164 nt
Filed under: Burkholderia multivorans
Lineage: Bacteria; Pseudomonadati; Pseudomonadota; Betaproteobacteria; Burkholderiales; Burkholderiaceae
Description: partial 23S ribosomal RNA
Rfam family: Bacterial large subunit ribosomal RNA
Source: RNAcentral